AGAGUUUGAUCCUGGCUCAGGACGAACGCUGGCGGCGUGCCUAAUGCAUGCAAGUCGAGCGGGCUACGAUCUUCGGAUUGUAGCUUAGCGGCGAACGGGUGAGUAACACGUAGGUGAUCUACCCUUCAGAGGAGGACAACCUCAGGAAACUGAGGCUAAACCUUCAUACGUUCACUGGUAGGGAUACUGGUGAAGAAAGAGUUACCCCUAGAGGGUAGCUGCUGAAGGAUGAGCCUGCGGCCCAUCAGGUAGUUGGUGAGGUAACGGCUCACCAAGCCGAAGACGGGUAACCGGUCUGAGAGGAUGUCCGGUCACACUGGGACUGAGACACGGCCCAGACUCCUACGGGAGGCAGCAGCAGGGAAUCUUGGGCAAUGGGCGAAAGCCUGACCCAGCGACGCCGCGUGGAGGAAGAAGUCCUUCGGGGCGUAAACUCCUGGACUGGGGGACGAGUAAGGACGGUACCCCAGUAGAAAGGGACGGCUAACUACGUGCCAGCAGCCGCGGUAAAACGUAGGUCCCGAGCGUUGUUCGGAUUCACUGGGUGUAAAGGGCGCGUAGGUGGUUGUCUGUGUCUCAUGUGAAAACUCAGGGCUCAACUCUGAGAUUGCGUGGGAAACUAGGCAGCUAGAGGACGGUAGAGGGGAGUGGAAUUCCCGGUGUAGCGGUAAAAUGCGUAGAUAUCGGGAGGAACACCGGUGGCGAAGGCGGCUCUCUGGGCCGAUCCUGACGCUGAGGCGCGAAAGCUAGGGGAGCGAACCGGAUUAGAUACCCGGGUAGUCCUAGCCGUAAACGAUGGGUGCUAGGUGUUGGGGGGUAAAGACCCUUCAGUGCCGAAGCCAACGCGAUAAGCAUCCCACCUGGGGAGUACGGCCGCAAGGUUGAAACUCAAAUGAAUUGACGG
This 904-nucleotide ribosomal RNA is filed under the name uncultured bacterium. Its description in RNAcentral is "bacterial SSU rRNA". It matches the Rfam family "Bacterial small subunit ribosomal RNA", at positions 8 to 916 of the family's 1533-position model. The record is from RNAcentral.